CGCGUAGGCGGGCCGGCAAGUCAGGGGUGAAAGCCCGCGGCUCAACCGCGGAAGUGCCUUUGAUACUGCCGGCCUCGAGGGAGGUAGGGGCGUGCGGAACUUCCGGUGGAGCGGUGAAAUGCGUAGAUAUCGGAAGGAACACCGGUGGCGAAAGCGGCGCGCUGGACCUCUUCUGACGCUGAGGCGCGAAAGCCAGGGGAGCAAACGG
RNAcentral lists this ribosomal RNA (208 nucleotides) under uncultured bacterium. Its description in RNAcentral is "partial 16S ribosomal RNA". It matches the Rfam family "Bacterial small subunit ribosomal RNA", at positions 568 to 775 of the family's 1533-position model. The record is from RNAcentral.